CAGCACACGCGCACAUCUCGCUACGCACGCCUCUCAGACGCGUCCGCAGGACACCCGCCGGGUUCCGUGUCAGGCUGUAACGGAGCGGAGCCGCUAGCAGAGAGAGAGAGAAGAGCGCUUUUUAAAAUUUAUUUUUUGGGGCUUUUUGGAGAGCGAGAGCGCACCGCCUUUUGUCGCGUUUGUUACUCCGCGAGCAUUCAAAAAAGCAGCAGCAGCAGCUGCUGACACUCGGACACGCGCUUCUUUGAGAGCGGAGACUGUGGACUUGCUACCGCCGAGCCUCCACGGGAGGACCGACCCCUUCGUGUGCGCAACAUACGCGGGGACGCAGAGAGGGGUUGAAACGGGGAGGCGGGGGGCGGACUGGUCGGAACUUGACGCACCCUGGAGCCGCCGUCUCUGGAGCGCAGAAGCCUCCGAGCUGCGGAGCGCACGCCGUAUUGAUCAAGGAGUUUGUUUGUUUGUUCACUGUAUUUUGGAUGCCGUUGUGAGGCAUCGCGCCGCUAAAUGGACAGACUUUAAAAAAAGGCAAAUAGAUUUGCACUAAUGACAUGCAGUUGGCACACGUUUCCCCCACCAAUGGUUUGAUAAGCGGGAUUAUUCCUGAAGUGGUCUCGCUUUGACUGCUGCCACCGGUUUGUGGUCCAACCAGGGUGUGGAUUUUUUUUUUUUUUUGGAAAGAACAGUAUCACUUCAUAUUCUACGAGGUGGAAAGAUUAUAAACUUAAAGCUCGCCGCGAGUUCCUGCGUCAUCCAAGAUGGAUUUUCAGUCAUCACUGUUUGGAUUUCUGAUGACAAUGUGUCAUGUAGCAUUGAGAGUCCGAGGAGAAACUGUGCCACAGUGCGGAGACCUCUUUGAUGCCAGCAAGGCCGGUUACAUCACCUCCCCCGGCUACCCUCUGGAGUACCCGCCUCACCAGAACUGCCACUGGAUCAUCACGGCGCCGGAGCCGUCGCAGCGCAUCGUCCUCAACUUCAACCCACACUUUGAGAUAGAGCGACUGGACUGCAAGUAUGACUUCAUCGAGAUCCGUGACGGGACUUCGGAAAAUGCCGAUGUUCUGGGUCGGCACUGCAGCAACAUCGCCCCGGCGCCAAUCAUCUCAUCGGGACCCUCCCUGCAGAUCCGCUUCGUCUCGGACUACGCCCACCAGGGAGCGGGCUUCUCCCUGCGCUACGAGAUCUUCAAAACCGGGUCGGAAUUCUGCUUCCGCAACUUCACCAGCUCCUCCGGCAUGAUCGACUCUCCGGGCUUCCCGGAUAAAUACCCCCAUAAUCUGGAGUGCUCCUACAUGAUCAUCGCCCCGCCCCACAUGGACAUCACCCUCACGUUCCUGACCUUUGACCUGGAGAACGACCCGCUGCUGGUGGGAGAGGGCGACUGCAAGUACGACUGGCUGGACGUGUGGGAUGGCCUGCCGCAAGUGUCUCCUCUGAUCGGCCGAUACUGCGGAACAAAGAUCCCUCCGGAGAUCCAGUCUUCCUCCGGCCUGCUGUCCCUCUCCUUCCACACCGACAUGGCCGUGGCCAAAGACGGCUUCUCCGCCCGCUACAACAUGACGCACAAAGAAGUCAGCGACUCGUUCCACUGCAGCAUGGCGCUCGGCAUGGAGUCGGGGAAGAUCAGCGACGAUCAGAUCAGCGCAUCGACGACCUUCUACGACAACCGCUGGUUGCCGCGGCAGGCCCGCCUCAACAACGACGACAACGCCUGGACGCCGUCGGAGGACAGCAACAAGGAGUACAUACAGGUCGACCUCCACUUCCUGAAGGUGCUGACGGGGAUCGCCACGCAAGGGGCCAUUUCCAAGGAGACGCAGAAGUCCUACUACGUCACCACCUUUAAACUGGAGGUCAGCACCAACGGGGAGGACUGGAUGGUCUACCGCCACGGCAAGAACCACAAGAUCUUCCACGCCAACACGGACCCGGCCGAAGUGGUUCUGAACCGCGUCCCACAGCCGGUUCUGGCUCGGUUCGUCCGCAUCCGACCACAGACCUGGAGGAACGGCAUCGCCCUGCGCUUUGAGCUCUACGGAUGCCAGAUCACAGAUGCUCCGUGUUCGGACCUGCAGGGCCUGCUGUCCGGCCUUCUCCUCGACGCCCAGAUCUCCGCCUCCUCCACCAGGGACAUGGUGUGGAACCCGGGGAACGCCCGCCUGGUGGCCAGUCGCUCCGGCUGGUUCCCGGCCGGCGCGCAGCCCUUGGCUGGAGAAGAGUGGCUCCAAGUGGACCUCGGCGUGCCGAAGACGGUGCGCGGAGUGAUCACCCAGGGAGCGAGGGGAGGGGACGCAGGAAGCGGGGCGACCACGGAUAACCGGGCGUUUGUCAGGAAGUACAAAGUGGCACACAGCCUGAACGGGAAGGAGUGGCACUUCAUCAUGGACAGCAAGACCAGCCUGCCAAAGAUUUUUGAGGGGAACACGCACUACGACACCCCGGAGCUGCGCCAUUUUGAAGAGAUCGUGUCCCAGUUCAUCAGGCUGUAUCCAGAGCGGUGGUCUCCAGCAGGGAUCGGGAUGAGAGUCGAGAUAAUUGGCUGUGACCUUCCAGAAACCACCACGCCGGCCGAGACCGCCACGCCAACUCUGCCCGCUGACAUGGACACCUCCACCGCCCCUCUUACGACUACAGUGGCCGCCUCUCCUCCACCAGAGAGCGUGUGUGACUUCGACCACGGCCUGUGUGGGUGGACGCACGACCCCAACGCCCCCGUGCUCUGGUCCCUGCACAGCCACGAGUUGAGCAGCUAUCUGUACAUGGACGCCAGCUUGAAGACGGAGCAGCAGCGAGCGCGGCUCGUGAGCCCCCUGGUGGUGGCCGACUCGGGGCCCCUCUGCCUCCUCUUCUCCUACCAGCUGUGGGGGGAGGCCCAGGGCCACCUGAAGGUCCUCCUGCGGGACGCCCACAACGAGGAGACCGUCCUGUGGACGCUGAAAGACGAUCAGGGACCCGUCUGGAGGGAGGGCCGUACCAUCCUGCCUCGCUCCCCAAAAGACUUCCAGAUUGUGAUGGAGGGUUUCUUUGUGCACGGCACCAGAGGACACAUCUGGAUAGACAACAUCUACUUGAGCUCUAGCACCCCUCUGAAAGAGUGCACACAACCCUUUGCUGCUUUUUCUCCUGAAAAUCCAGGGGGAGGCGUUCCUGUGCCUCCCUUGCCCAUCCACUGGUAUUACAUUAUGGCCGCCGGGGGCGCCCUCCUUCUCCUGGCGGUGGCCAUCUUGGUCAGGGCUCUCUGUUGCUGCCGACAACACCUGGCCACCAAGAAGAGCCAGCUGUCAGUGGCCUAUCACAGCUCCUCGCAGUGCUUCCAGUAUUCUAACUGGUCCUCCAGUAUGGCCGCCCCAGGGGUGGAGCCAGUGCUGACCGUGAGGCUGGACAGCCGAGACCGACACCGUACCCUCUGCUGAAGAGAAGUCCUUAGCCACGUUGUGUUUUGGCAGAGGAGGGACGCCAACUCGUAACGCCAGUGGCAGCGCGCGCCGCGAUACCGCAACACUGACGGGACACCCACCCGAAGAACCUCUCCCUCAUCUAGUUUACAGUUGCAAGGGAGAUGAUGAUAUUGUCCAAAAAAACUGCCACGUGGACAUUUGCAAAGAAACAUUGUGCUCUCUCUCUCUCUGUGUCUCAAAUGGAUGUAGCUUCGGAUGCCGUUAUCUUCCUUGUUCCAUUAAGGAGUUCUUUUCACACUAUGCUCCUCCUGAUGAGUGCACUGAAGUCUGAGUAAGUUAUUUAUCUGAACAGCUUGUCUCGGACCAUUGAAUGCCGUCUGGCCCCUCUUUACCCCAGCGGUCCUCCUGGAAUGACCCCAGCAUGAACAAACAGACUUGUGUGGGCCGGGAAGAGAAGGAGGUCGAGCUGGUUCCGCUGCAAGGGCCAGCCGGAGCUGCCAAACCACAGGCUAAAACAAGACCCCCGUGACAUGAGGAGCCCUGCAGUGCUAAGAGAGAAAUAGAGAGAGAGAGAGAGAGAGAGAGAGAAAUGGGGGAGGAAACUGUUAGGCUGAGAGGCAUUCAACGUGCUGGCGGUGGAAAUGAUCUGGCAAGCCCCAGAAAAUAAAGCUCUUGGUACCUCUGUAAUAACAACAUGAGAUAGCUGUGGUAUGAGUUGCACCAAUAGUGAGGGCGUCGCAUCGGAGGCGGAUAAGAUAAAUCCGCCCAGUGUGCUUUUCGAACACCGCAUGUGCACAUUUAAAAACAAAGAAAUACAAAUCCAUCAUACUUCAAGUCCUGCAUCACAAAUGGUGAUAACCAGCUCCUUUGAUUGAACGUUUUGUCUUCUCCCGACGAAGGCACCCGUCAGUGAUGGAUGCAGCCGCCCUCAGUGUUUAGCGCUUCGUCUCGAUUCUCUGGCGUAAUAAAGCACGUUGUUCACACUCCCACUCACGCUUCGUACCACCACCCCCCCCCCCACCCACCUCCCGUUGUUCCCCAUGUCUUUGAGCUGCUCCGCCGAGCCUCGUCGCCAUUUCAAUGGGAAUGCGUGCUCGUUGCGUUUUAGGGUUGUAAAUAGACACAGCUGUCCGACAUCACCAUCUCUGUCUUGAUUUAUACUACAAAUCCCACAAUGCCGCUUCACCAGCUGGAAAGCAUAAUUGAAGGUUUUGGCUGUGUAUAUACACGCCCUUGAGAGCAAUCCAAAACGUUAUGAGAACCAGAGCAGAGCUCCAGCCAUCGAUGGCGCUCCCAUGAAUGGAUAUUAACAUGACACAGGUCAGCUAAUGCAAUGCUUACUCAUGUUUAACAGAGAUGGGAUCCAAAAGUAUUUUAUUGUGAAAUGUCUCAGAACUGAGCUGAGACAAAUUGGCAGCAGUGUCUCUCUCAUCAGUCGGUGCAGAGGUGGUGAGAUUGGACGCAGGCUCGGUUUAGCACUCUAGAUUGAACGAAAUUGGGGUCUUCACUCUGUGGCUUAACGGGCCGUGCUUUUCGUGAUCUGUCACACCAGCACAAAAUCCAUCACCCACUACCCCACAGCUCAGCAGAAUGUGUCUCGAUUUGCUGCCGCAAUUUAGGAGCUGCACUUCAGAGUGAAAAAGAGGUGUUUUUUGGCACGCUCUCUCAAUGUGCUUUUAAAUCAUCUCAGGGGAAGAGGGAUUGGACCCCCUGCUUGAGCCAUCACGACACCGUUACGCUCCAAGCCUCUAAUGGUGGUAAUUAGUUAAUGGACAGAUAACAUUUAUUAACUUUCUCACUCCCAUCUAUUGCACCUCAGCUGCCAAUUUCAGUUGCCCCCGGAAACAGUAUUGAUAACGCCAUUGGCCAUAAGCGAACCCUGCAGAUUCGAGGCGUGCGCCCUGCCAAGCAGAUACUCCCAGUCCUACGUGUUCGCCAAGAUUAGCUAGUGCAAACCCACACUCGCACACGCAAACGCACACAGAGUGGACAGGAAACUCGUCGAAAGUAAAAGUACACUCGAGCUUUCCGGCUCGACUGAAGUGGCGCGGCCGUUGGUGGUUCACCGCACUUUAUGAUCCUCCAAUUCAGACCAUCCCGUACAUAUCACCGCUCAGUUCACACCACAUGGCAGGGAACGGAAAGACAUGCACUACUUAAAUGUUGUUGUUGUUUUUUUGUCUUUCAUCAUCUUAUACACCACUCUUAAACUUGACAGCGACAGUGCCGAUGAUUUUAAUGGUGAUAAUGAUGGGUAAUGUUAACUAUUUGGUGAUGUUUGCAUCUCUAUUCACACGGAAUGAACAGUCUUAUACCAUCAGUAUGCUAUGUGAUGACUGUAUUUUUGACAAGAAUGUAUCAUAAUGAUCUUUCUUUAUUAAUAAAGUAAUAUUUUUCUAUUAUUCCAAGACUUGUGUGUGUCUACAAAUGCAAAUUACAAUAUGCAAAAAGCUUAGUUCUCCAUAGAUUUGUUGAAAUUGAAGUAUUAUCUGAAACAGAAACCGACAAAAACUGGUUCUGUGUGGAAUAAUUCUUUAUGCUUAACGGUUGUGUCUCCUGUGCUUCUCUCACACAGUUAAGAGACCAAAUGAAUUUGGAGAUGGACGUCUUUCCAGCGGCAGAAACCCUCUAGGUGGAGUUUUACAGUUCCCGGAGUGGAACACGGCCUCCCCGUCGUCUGAGCCUCCGGUGACCCGCGUCUCAGAGAAGGACAACUCCUG
Pungitius pungitius (ninespine stickleback) is the source of this 6118-nucleotide RNA transcript. It is a transcript of the gene named neuropilin 2a, with no coding region annotated. The record is from RefSeq and is a predicted model, not a curated record. NCBI's taxonomy places the organism in Eukaryota, Metazoa, Chordata, Actinopteri, Perciformes, Gasterosteidae. The transcript has 18 exons.